AGAUUGAACGCUGGCGGCAGGCCUAACACAUGCAAGUCGAGCGGCAGCACGGGUACUUGUACCUGGUGGCGAGCGGCGGACGGGUGAGUAAUGCCUAGGAAUCUGCCUGAUAGUGGGGGAUAACGUUCGGAAACGGACGCUAAUACCGCAUACGUCCUACGGGAGAAAGCGAGGGACCUUCGGGCCUUGCGCUAUCAGAUGAGCCUAGGUCGGAUUAGCUAGUU
RNAcentral lists this ribosomal RNA (224 nucleotides) under uncultured soil bacterium. RNAcentral's name for it is "partial 16S ribosomal RNA". It matches the Rfam family "Bacterial small subunit ribosomal RNA", at positions 26 to 250 of the family's 1533-position model. The record is from RNAcentral.